Molecule: ribosomal RNA, 508 nt
Filed under: uncultured bacterium
Lineage: Bacteria
Description: partial 16S ribosomal RNA
Rfam family: Bacterial small subunit ribosomal RNA
Source: RNAcentral
AUUGAACGCUGGCGGCAUGCCUCACACAUGCAAGUCGAACGGCAGCGGGGGAGAAGCUUGCUUUUCCUGCCGGCGAGUGGCGAACGGGUGAGUAAUACAUCGGAACGUGCCCUGUAGUGGGGGAUAACUAGUCGAAAGAUUAGCUAAUACCGCAUACGACCUGAGGGUGAAAGUGGGGGACCGCAAGGCCUCAUGCUAUAGGAGCGGCCGAUGUCUGAUUAGCUAGUUGGUGGGGUAAAGGCCUACCAAGGCGACGAUCAGUAGCUGGUCUGAGAGGACGAUCAGCCACACUGGGACUGAGACACGGCCCAGACUCCUACGGGAGGCAGCAGUGGGGAAUUUUGGACAAUGGGCGAAAGCCUGAUCCAGCAAUGCCGCGUGUGUGAAGAAGGCCUUCGGGUUGUAAAGCACUUUUGUCAGGAACGAAACGGUGGGGGCUAAUACCUCCUGCUAACGACGGUACCUGAAGAAUAAGCACCGGCUAACUACGUGCCAGCAGCCGCAGUAA